RNAcentral lists this ribosomal RNA (735 nucleotides) under uncultured Methanomicrobiaceae archaeon. Its description in RNAcentral is "bacterial SSU rRNA". It matches the Rfam family "Archaeal small subunit ribosomal RNA", at positions 95 to 837 of the family's 1478-position model. Lineage: Archaea; Methanobacteriati; Methanobacteriota; Methanomicrobia; Methanomicrobiales; Methanomicrobiaceae. The record is from RNAcentral.
UACACGUGGACAACCUAACCUAUGGAGGGGGAUAACCCCGGGAAACUGGGGAUAAUACCCCAUAGACUAUGGAUGCUGGAAUGCUCUGUAGUUGAAAGGUCCGCCGCCAUAGGAUGGGUCUGCGGCCGAUUAGGUUGUUGUUGGGGUAACGGCCCAACAAGCCUGUAAUCGGUACGGGUUGUGGGAGCAAGAGCCCGGAGAUGGAUUCUGAGACACGAAUCCAGGCCCUACUGGGCGCAGCAGGCGCGAAAACUUUACAAUGCGGGAAACCGUGAUAAGGGAACUCCGAGUGCCCGUAAAAUCGGGCUGUCCAUCUGUUUAAAUAACAGGUGAAGAAAGGGCCGGGCAAGACCGGUGCCAGCCGCCGCGGUAAUACCGGCGGCUCGAGUGGUGGCCACUAUUACUGGGCUUAAAGCGUUCGUAGCUGGUUUGUUAAGUCUCUGGGGAAAUCUGCCGGCUCAACCGGCAGGCGUUCCAGGGAUACUGGCAGACUAGGGACCGGGAGAGGUGAGGGGUACUCCAGGGGUAGGAGUGAAAUCCUGUAAUCCUUGGGGGACCACCUGUGGCGAAGGCGCCUCACCAGAACGGCUCCGACAGUGAGGGACGAAAGCUGGGGGAGCAAACCGGAUUAGAUACCCGGGUAGUCCCAGCCGUAAACGAUGCGCGUUAGGUGUAUCGGUGACCACGAGUCACCGAGGUGCCGAAGAGAAAUCGUAAACGUGCCGCCUGGAAGUA